ACUAUGGUGUUCACAUGAUGAGAAAUCCUUAAGGACUGGAGCAAUCUGAAGGCUUCAGGGAGGAAGUGAGACCAAAGCUGGUCCUAUAAGGAAGGAUUUUGGAAGGAAGUCAUGCUACUCAGGAAUGAUCUCAUACCCUAAGCUCCAUCAAUGCUAAGGUUCUUGUAGGCACUAAUUCCAAGGAUUGGAUUAGUUUGAAUUACUGAGAUAACAUUUUCAAAGCCUUACCUACCCUCUGCCUGCAGCUUUUCAGAGUUCAUGAAAAGUAACUGCUUAGGUUCAAAUCCUUGGGAAGAAGGGCUGGUUGGGUGAGACUGCAGUGGAAAGAGCAACCAUUCUGACAAAACAUGAACCCCCAUCCUCAGGGCAGGCUGCAGUGGACCAUAUCAAUGCUGUCAUUCCGGAAGGUGACCCCGAGAAUACGCUGCUUGCACUGAAGAAACAAGAGGCCCAGCUGCCUGCUGUUUAUCCCUUUGCUGCUGCCAUGUAUCAGAACGAACUUUUCAACCUCCAGAAACAGAACACCAUGAACUACUUGGCCCACGAGGAGCUUUUGAUUGCUGUGGAAAUGUUGUCUGCUGUUGCUUUACUAAACC
Molecule: small RNA, 596 nt
Filed under: Pan troglodytes (chimpanzee)
Lineage: Eukaryota; Metazoa; Chordata; Mammalia; Primates; Hominidae
Description: retained intron
Source: RNAcentral